GAAGAGUGCAGAGUUUGUAUUUAUUGCAGUUGGUCAAAGGUAAGCAGUGAUAUUAUAAAAACCACUAAGCAAAAUCACCCUCUUAGGAUCCACCCUUCUCCCCAGCAGGGGAAGCUCUUGCUCACUCCAACAGUGAGGGAUGAUGAGGGAGAGGAGGAAGAGGAUGAUGAAGGAUUUCUGCUCUAUUGAGAUGAGAAAACAAGAUUCACUUCACAAUGGAGCCAAAGACAACAAACCAAACCCUUAACCUGUCAUGGGACUAUGGACAAGUGCGACCAUACACCUCUCCAAACCAAACCCUUAACCUGUCAUGGGACUAUGGACAAGUGCGACCAUACACCUCUCCAAACAUGGAAGAGCUUUGCUGAUGAAGCCAGCACACUCAGCACUCUUCAGCAAUUGGUUUUGCUUCUGCUAUAGUCAGCACUACUGACAUAUGGAAGUGAAAGCUUCUUACAUAAGGCUGCGACAUGACCUGACCACUAAGAUAGUUGCAACAACAGCAUCUUUUAACGUUCAUUUUUUCAACCCAGCCUGAUCUGACGACGGUUUCUAUUCCGCCUGGAGUUUUCGCGUCACUUGCGUCACCCAGUUCGUUGGUCAGAUGCGUACAGAGUCAUUUGAACUAUGCCCGUUGAUCACGCCUCUUGUGCAGUAUAGAAAAUGCAACUGUUGUUAUAUAAUGGUCACACUGUGGUACAGUUUAAAUGAUUACCAUAAAGUACAUAAUAGUACAGUAUAGAGUGCAAACAACAUAAAUGUGUAUUGCAUAUGGGAUGAAGAUGUUAUGUGUGUGCAAGGCCAAUAUUUGAGCAAAAGCUGCAAAUGGCUGCCACGUGGCUACUGUGAGAUUCCCUGGUUGUUGCGCUGUGUUUUAGUUGUAAUGUUUGUAUUGAAGAUGGUCAAUAAAGCUUGAUGGCUGGAUCAGGA
Long non-coding RNA from Alosa alosa (allis shad), 930 nucleotides. RefSeq lists it as uncharacterized. NCBI's taxonomy places the organism in Eukaryota, Metazoa, Chordata, Actinopteri, Clupeiformes, Clupeidae. The transcript is spliced from 2 exons. The record is from RefSeq and is a predicted model, not a curated record.